AUGAUUCAUUCAUUCACCAUGCCAAUUUCUAGACACAUUUCAAAGGACUUGUUACAAAUGAACCAUUAUAUCAAAAAGUGUUCAUCAAUCCUACAAAAUUACUAUGGUUACAUCAUGUUUUUAAGAUUAAAGGCAAACUCAAAUAGAAUCCCUAAUCUAGCAAGUCUACUUCUAUGGUUUCUAAGAGAGAUUUCCCUUUUAUAUUCCUUGUGA
Molecule: non-coding RNA, 213 nt
Organism: Vicia faba (fava bean)
Lineage: Eukaryota; Viridiplantae; Streptophyta; Magnoliopsida; Fabales; Fabaceae
Source: the annotation of a GenBank genome assembly